GAUGAACGCUGGCGGCGUGCCUAAUACAUGCAAGUCGAGCGAACAGACGAUGAGCUUGCUCCUCUGACGUUAGCGGCGGACGGGUGAGUAAGACGUGGAUAACCUACCUAUAAUACUGGGAUAACUUCGGGAAACCAGAGCUAAUACCGCAUAAUAUAUUGAACGGCAUGGAUCAAUAGUGCAAGACACUUUUGCUGUCACUUAUAGAUGGAUCCGCGCCGCAUUAGCUAGUUGGUAAGGUAACGGCCUACCAAGGCAACGAUGCGUAGCCGACCUGAGAGGAUGAUCGGCCACACUGGAACUGAGACACGGUCCAGACUCCUACGGGAGGCAGCAGUAGGGAAUAUUGCGCAAUGGGCGCAAGCCUGACCCAGCCACGCCGCGUGAGUGAAGAAGGUCUUCGGAUCGUAAAACCCUGUUAUUGGGGAAGAAAAACUGUGGAAUUAUCUACGCACGUCUUGACGGUACCUAAACAGUAAGCACCGGCUAACUUCGUG
This 497-nucleotide ribosomal RNA is filed under the name uncultured bacterium. RNAcentral describes it as "partial 16S ribosomal RNA". It matches the Rfam family "Bacterial small subunit ribosomal RNA", at positions 28 to 507 of the family's 1533-position model. The record is from RNAcentral.